This is a long non-coding RNA of Etheostoma cragini (Arkansas darter), 224 nucleotides long. RefSeq lists it as uncharacterized. The record is from RefSeq and is a predicted model, not a curated record. The transcript has 3 exons. Lineage: Eukaryota; Metazoa; Chordata; Actinopteri; Perciformes; Percidae.
GAUGUCAGGCCUUAUACCAGCAAUGUACAUCUAUUAGCCUCUUUCCGACCAAGUAGUUACAGGAAAAUAGUUAUAGGAACAAUCUACUUCUUAACAGUUCUACUAACUAUUCUCCCCCAAAAACGUUUUUCCAUUUGCAUUCACACUGGCCAAGUGGCCAUAGUAACUGACCUGUUGUCAGUAUAACACAGCCAUCUAACUACCACUAUGCGGAAAAGGGAAAA